RNAcentral lists this ribosomal RNA (245 nucleotides) under uncultured bacterium. RNAcentral describes it as "partial 16S ribosomal RNA". It matches the Rfam family "Bacterial small subunit ribosomal RNA", at positions 87 to 334 of the family's 1533-position model. The record is from RNAcentral.
AGAUGCGACCGGCGCACGGGUGAGUAACACGCAUCCAACCUGCCGAUAACUCCGGAAUAGCCUUUCGAAAGAAAGAUUAAUACCGGAUGGCAUACGAAUAUCGCAUGAUAUUUUAUUAAAGAAUUUCGGUUAUCGAUGGGGAUGCGUUCCAUUAGUUUGUUGGCGGGGUAACGGCCCACCAAGACUACGAUGGAUAGGGGUUCUGAGAGGAAGGUCCCCCACAUUGGAACUGAGGCACGGUCCAA